Molecule: ribosomal RNA, 640 nt
Filed under: uncultured Leuconostoc sp.
Lineage: Bacteria; Bacillati; Bacillota; Bacilli; Lactobacillales; Lactobacillaceae
Description: bacterial SSU rRNA
Rfam family: Bacterial small subunit ribosomal RNA
Source: RNAcentral
GUGCUAUACAUGCAGUCGAACGCACAGCGAAAGGUGCUUGCACCUUUCAAGUGAGUGGCGAACGGGUGAGUAACACGUGGACAACCUGCCUCAAGGCUGGGGAUAACAUUUGGAAACAGAUGCUAAUACCGAAUAAAACUUAGUGUCGCAUGACACAAAGUUAAAAGGCGCUUCGGCGUCACCUAGAGAUGGAUCCGCGGUGCAUUAGUUAGUUGGUGGGGUAAAGGCCUACCAAGACAAUGAUGCAUAGCCGAGUUGAGAGACUGAUCGGCCACAUUGGGACUGAGACACGGCCCAAACUCCUACGGGAGGCUGCAGUAGGGAAUCUUCCACAAUGGGCGAAAGCCUGAUGGAGCAACGCCGCGUGUGUGAUGAAGGCUUUCGGGUCGUAAAGCACUGUUGUAUGGGAAGAACAGCUAGAAUAGGAAAUGAUUUUAGUUUGACGGUACCAUACCAGAAAGGGACGGCUAAAUACGUGCCAGCAGCCGCGGUAAUACGUAUGUCCCGAGCGUUAUCCGGAUUUAUUGGGCGUAAAGCGAGCGCAGACGGUUUAUUAAGUCUGAUGUGAAAGCCCGGAGCUCAACUCCGGAAUGGCAUUGGAAACUGGUUAACUUGAGUGCAGUAGAGGUAAGUGGAACUC